This 52-nucleotide small RNA is filed under the name Arabidopsis thaliana (thale cress). RNAcentral describes it as "ATSL050530". Lineage: Eukaryota; Viridiplantae; Streptophyta; Magnoliopsida; Brassicales; Brassicaceae. The record is from RNAcentral.
CGUAGUCUCUGUCUCUGUCCCGAUCAUGGUCAUAGUCAUAGUCACGCUCCUU